UGGGACUUCUUACUCCUCGCACGCACGGGUGAGUAACACGUGGGUAAUCUUCCUCUGAGUCUGGGAUAACUUUCCGAAAGGGAACUAAUACUGGAUGGUCCCGAGAGAUCAUAAGAUUUUUCUGGUAAAGAUUUAUUGCUUGGAUAUGAGCCCGCGUCCGAUUACCUUGUUGGUGAGGUAAAGGCUCACCAAGGCCACGAUCGGUAUCCGGCCUGAGAGGGUGUUCGGCCACAAUGGAACUGAAACACGGUCCAUACUCCUACUGGAGGCAGCAGUUAAAAAUCUUGCUCAAUGGGGGGAACCCUGAAUCAGCGACACCGCGUGAACGAUUAAGGUCUUCGGAUUGUAAAGUUCAAUAAGCACGGAAAAAUAAGCAGAAAUGUGAUGAUCGUACCUGCCUAAAGCACCGGCUAACUACCUGCCACCACCCGCGGUAAUACGUAGGGUGCAUGCGUUGUUCGGAAUCAUUGGGCGUAAAGGGUGCGUAAAGCAAAGAAAAAAUGAUGCUAU
RNAcentral lists this ribosomal RNA (510 nucleotides) under Leptospira sp. 03. Its description in RNAcentral is "bacterial SSU rRNA". It matches the Rfam family "Bacterial small subunit ribosomal RNA", at positions 75 to 598 of the family's 1533-position model. Lineage: Bacteria; Pseudomonadati; Spirochaetota; Leptospiria; Leptospirales; Leptospiraceae. The record is from RNAcentral.